RNAcentral lists this long non-coding RNA (241 nucleotides) under Lathyrus oleraceus (garden pea). RNAcentral describes it as "Pisum sativum (pea) long non-coding RNA (PSAT_LNC031797)". Lineage: Eukaryota; Viridiplantae; Streptophyta; Magnoliopsida; Fabales; Fabaceae. The record is from RNAcentral.
UGAUUUUGAGAAUUAUGCCUUGUUUUCACAUGAUUCCACUUACAUUAGCUUACAAACAACAUUUCUGAAUUGCUCAAACCAGAAAAUGCACUGUUACAUUGGUUUGCACAUGGUGAGGGUGAAUUGACCAAAUUGCCAUUUAGCAUGAAACUUGCAUUUGGCUUAAACACUUGCAUUUUUGCUAAUCAUGAUUAGCAACUUCAUUAACAUCACAUAUAUAAACUAAAUCAUAACUGUUUUC